UACAAUGGAUCUACGAAAAGAUCGUGUAGUUUACUGAAACCCUUGAAUUCGGAAUAUGGGAAAGUCGCCCCGGGUUGGGGGACUACUCCUUUUAUGGGGAUCGCAAUGGCAUUGGCACCUUUUCGAACACAACUGAUGCAUUCCAAAAUAACUCUGAUUCUAACAUCUUUUCCCUUGGCCAUGAACCUCCUUUUCUUUUUGGAUUGA
This 207-nucleotide ribosomal RNA is filed under the name Triticum aestivum (bread wheat). RNAcentral's name for it is "partial small subunit ribosomal RNA". Lineage: Eukaryota; Viridiplantae; Streptophyta; Magnoliopsida; Poales; Poaceae. The record is from RNAcentral.